Molecule: transfer RNA, 75 nt
Filed under: Candidatus Melainabacteria bacterium
Lineage: Bacteria; Bacillati; Candidatus Melainabacteria
Description: tRNA-Asn
Rfam family: tRNA
About the family: Transfer RNA (tRNA) molecules are approximately 80 nucleotides in length. Their secondary structure includes four short double-helical elements and three loops (D, anti-codon, and T loops). Further hydrogen bonds mediate the characteristic L-shaped molecular structure. tRNAs have two regions of fundamental functional importance: the anti-codon, which is responsible for specific mRNA codon recognition, and the 3' end, to which the tRNAs corresponding amino acid is attached (by aminoacyl-tRNA synthetases). tRNAs cope with the degeneracy of the genetic code in two manners: having more than one tRNA (with a specific anti-codon) for a particular amino acid; and 'wobble' base-pairing, i.e. permitting non-standard base-pairing at the 3rd anti-codon position.
Source: RNAcentral
UCCCGGGUAGCUCAGUGGUAGAGCAAUCGGCUGUUAACCGAUCGGUCGUAGGUUCGAAUCCCACCCCGGGAGCCA